GACGAACGCUGGCGGCGUGGAUUAGGCAUGCAAGUCGCGCGACGGUAGGGCUUCGGCUCUAUACGGAGCGGCGAACGGGUGAGUAACACGUGAACAACCUGUCCCUACAUUCCGGAUAAUUGACCGAAAGGUCUUGUAAUACGGGGGAGGGUCCUGGUGGGGCAUCUCAUUAGGAAGGAACGAGCAAUCGGUGCAGGGGAGGGGUUCGCGGAUUAUCAGCUUGUUGGUGAGGUAACGGCUCACCAAGGCGACGACGACUAGCUGGUCUGAGAGGAUGGUCAGCCACAUUGGAACUGAGACACUGUCCAGACUCCUACGGGAGGCUGCAGUCGAGAAUCUUGGGCAAUGCAACGAAAGUGUGACCCAGCGACGCCGCGUGGAGGACGAAGGCCCUUGGGUCGUAAACUCCUUUACGAGAGAAGAAUGAGCCG
Molecule: ribosomal RNA, 431 nt
Filed under: uncultured bacterium
Lineage: Bacteria
Description: bacterial SSU rRNA
Rfam family: Bacterial small subunit ribosomal RNA
Source: RNAcentral